Molecule: non-coding RNA, 80 nt
Organism: Podarcis lilfordi (Lilford's wall lizard)
Lineage: Eukaryota; Metazoa; Chordata; Lepidosauria; Squamata; Lacertidae
Source: the annotation of a GenBank genome assembly
AUCCAAGGGAUAGCUCAGCUGGUAGAACAUGAGACUCUUAUUUAAUCUCAGGGUCAUGGGUUCAAGCCUCAUGUUGGACA